AUGAACGCUGGCGGCGUGCUUAACACAUGCCAGUCGCACGAAGCACUUUAUUUGAUUUCCUUCGGGACUGAUUAUUUUGUGACUGAGUGGCGGACGGGUGAGUAACGCGUGGGUAACCUGCCUUGUACAGGGGGAUAACAGUUGGAAACGGCUGCUAAUACCGCAUAAGCGCACAGCAUCGCAUGAUGCAGUGUGAAAAACUCCGGUGGUAUAAGAUGGACCCGCGUUGGAUUAGCUAGUUGGUGAGGUAACGGCCCACCAAGGCGACGAUCCAUAGCCGACCUGAGAGGGUGACCGGCCACAUUGGGACUGAGACACGGCCCAAACUCCUACGGGAGGCAGCAGUGGGGAAUAUUGCACAAUGGGCGAAAGCCUGAUGCAGCGACGCCGCGUGAGCGAAGAAGUAUUUCGGUAUGUAAAGCUCUAUCAGCAGGGAAGAUAAUGACGGUACCUGACUAAGAAGCACCGGCUAAAUACGUG
RNAcentral lists this ribosomal RNA (480 nucleotides) under uncultured bacterium. RNAcentral describes it as "partial 16S ribosomal RNA". It matches the Rfam family "Bacterial small subunit ribosomal RNA", at positions 29 to 507 of the family's 1533-position model. The record is from RNAcentral.